RNAcentral lists this ribosomal RNA (253 nucleotides) under uncultured bacterium. RNAcentral describes it as "partial 16S ribosomal RNA". It matches the Rfam family "Bacterial small subunit ribosomal RNA", at positions 524 to 776 of the family's 1533-position model. The record is from RNAcentral.
UACGAAGGGUGCAAGCGUUACUCGGAAUUACUGGGCGUAAAGCGUGCGUAGGUGGUUCGUUAAGUCUGAUGUGAAAGCCCUGGGCUCAACCUGGGAAUGGCAUUGGAAACUGGCGACCUAGAGUGCGGUAGAGGGUAGUGGAAUUCCCGGUGUAGCAGUGAAAUGCGUAGAGAUCGGGAGGAACAUCUGUGGCGAAGGCGACUGCCUGGACCAGCACUGACACUGAGGCUCGAAAGUGUGGGGAUCAAACAGG